Molecule: ribosomal RNA, 480 nt
Filed under: uncultured bacterium
Lineage: Bacteria
Description: partial small subunit ribosomal RNA
Rfam family: Bacterial small subunit ribosomal RNA
Source: RNAcentral
UAUGNCAGANACUCUGNCCACCCCAAGUACCGUGAAGGAUGCAAUNCCCUANGGGUUGGNACCUNCUUUUAUCCGGGAAUAAAGUGAGNCCCGUGUCCCUUUUUGUAUGUCCCGUAUGAAUAAGGANCGGCCUANCUCNGUGCCCAGCCAGCCCCCGGNUAAUCCGGAGGANCCGAGCCGUUANCCGGAUUUCCUGGGUGUAAAGGGCCGUGCCAGCCCGGGCCAUGCCAAGUCAGAUGUGAAAUCUCCAGGGCCUCCAACCCCUGAAACCUGCCAUUUGAANCUGGUUUUUCCUUGAGUGAAGUAGAGGCCAGGCCGGAAUUCGUGGGUGUAGCGGUGAAAUGCCUUAGAUAUCCCCGAAGAACUCCCGAUUGCCGAAGGCCAGCCUUGCCUGGACCUGUANCUGNCGCCUGAUGCCUCCGAAAGUGUGGGUUAUCAAACAGGAUUAGAUACCCCUGGUUAGUCCCAAGGGCNGAAUUC